RNAcentral lists this long non-coding RNA (299 nucleotides) under Cavia porcellus (domestic guinea pig). RNAcentral describes it as "lncRNA (ENSCPOG00000038627.1)". Lineage: Eukaryota; Metazoa; Chordata; Mammalia; Rodentia; Caviidae. The record is from RNAcentral.
CUUACUCAUCACUAUAUUGCUAUUUCACUGAAUGUUUCAACCAAGUUGCACCAUAGUCAGCUUUCUGCAGAGGGACUGAUGGCAUACUCAAAACACCUGCUCCGUAACAAUACUUCAUCUUAUCCAGUACAGGCUUGUGUAUAACUUCACCCCUGUGGUUUCCGCAAAACUCUAAUGAGGAUGUAACUCCAAGCUGUGGCAUCAUAAUUGAGUGGCAGGCUUCCAAAAACAUUACACCCUUUUCACCUAUUCACUGCAUCUGGCACCGAGUGACUUCUGGCUUUUCCCCACAGUCAAAA